Potamilus streckersoni is the source of this 73-nucleotide non-coding RNA. The record is from the annotation of a GenBank genome assembly. Lineage: Eukaryota; Metazoa; Mollusca; Bivalvia; Unionida; Unionidae.
CGCUCCGGUGGCUAGUGGUUAGAGCGUUCGCCUCGGAUGCGGGAGGUUGUGGGUUUGAUCCCGGGCCGAGUGA